This is a long non-coding RNA of Equus caballus (horse), 1918 nucleotides long. RefSeq lists it as uncharacterized. The record is from RefSeq and is a predicted model, not a curated record. NCBI's taxonomy places the organism in Eukaryota, Metazoa, Chordata, Mammalia, Perissodactyla, Equidae.
AUCCUUGGUAAGGGGAGACGGGCCUGGAGGGAAUACUGAGAUCCAGGUCUGUGGGGAGACCUUGAUGAGAACAGGAAAAUGGGGACCAUUCUGCUGCCACUGAGUCUUAGCGGCUCCCGUCCAGGCCCAUGGGAUGUCGAUUCUGCCCAGCAGCAGUCACCGAGGUCCCGGGAAUGAAACCAGCCUCUCUCCCUGGGAAGUUUUUCUCUUACUUCCGCUCUUCUUCAGGUUUGCCAGCUUUUGAGCACCUUCUCCGUGCCAGGCACUGAUAAGGUUGAUCCUGCGAGAAUGGAAGAUGUGUUUUUAUUCCCCUCUCAAGGAAAAUGCUCACACGGUUGAGAAACUGAAAUCCUGAAAGGCUAAGUAACUUGCCCAAGGUCACCUGCUAGCAAGUUCUUGGAACCACCUCACCAGAUUACCUGCCAGGGGCUACUCUCUCCAUAGUACCAGCGAGACUUCUAUCUACGGGGCAGCACCGAAUUGUCAACACAGUUAUCUUCUCCAUCUCUUUAAUCCAUAUGUGCAAAUAGAAAGUUCACGUAGGUUCCUGUUAAACAUGAUUCUUUGUAUCACUUUAUUUCACUUUCUUCAGAAAUACCAUUAAAAUUAUAGUAAAGUCAUUUUAUAAAGAAAGUGGGAGGUGACAUAAACUCACAAGGAAAAAGCAAAGAAAGAGAAUAUGACACAGAUCUAAUUUGGAAGUUGCAAAAUGCACGGACAGCUGGUAACUGACUUAGGCAACCAAAGGUGGCUGAAAUGUAACUUGACGUUGGGGGCAACCAAGAAGAAAUGAAGUUCACUCUGCAGAGACCUGAAAAGGCUUAGUGUUGGGGUACCAUGACCAACUGAGAACGGAGGCAUGGCUGCAGCUGGAAACAUGAGGAUUCCCUGGGGGUCUCUAGAAUCUCAAGAUAAUACCUGCCCCCCAACCCCACCCCGACCACUAGCCAGAGGCUCAAAGUCACUCUGCGGAGACAGCAAACCAUGAGUGAAUUCAGACCCCAGGCUUGUCUGAUGGAGGGGGCCUCACAAUGUAAAAAAGAAUUAGGGGAAAGUCAACUUGCUCCCCAAUGAAGACACCUCAGUGCCCUCUCGGGGCUCUGCUCCAGAAUGCAAGCAGCCAGGCUCACUGCUCUCUCGGUGCCUCCCUGCAGACUGGAUGUAUUUCCAGGGAGACUGACAAGCCUGAUAAAGCCAACAAACACUGACAGUGAUCUUGAAAUGGGUCAGCCUGGCCAGAUCACCCUCCAGAAAGCCACCUGACUGGCAAAUUCUGUCCACAGACCUUUCUGGGCAGGUUUUCAGUUCCUUGUCUUUAAAUAUGAAAGGGCAGCAAAGAGCCCCUGAACACUGAAGAAGAUCUCUAACUGGGAAGAAAAAAUACAGCACAAAAGUAACAACCUAGAGGAAAAGAGAGCAGGCAGGAGCAAGAGAUAGUCAAGAAAACCUUCUUUAAUAUUUUUAGAGUAAAAUUCAGGUGUGUAGAGGGCAGAGAUAGGGCACAUGGCUGGCUCUCAUUCAGGUAUCCCCCACUAGCUGGGGACAGAUGAGAGAGAAGCUGGACUGGAAGCAGGCAAACGAGUGAGGAGGCAGCUGGCAAGAUGGUCUGGGAAGACAGUGACACCAGUGCAAGACCCAACACCUGGAGAAGAGAGAACGGUUUCACCCCGCAUUUCUGAGUCAGUCAGUGGUGAGUGACUGGGUGGGGGGUGGGCAAAGAGGAAGGAUUCCUGGGCAGGAUUCAUACCCAGGUCUGGCUGACUCUAGCUUCUGGGUGUCUGUGUCACCAAAUCUAGAAAAACAGGGAUGAUCCACCUAGUUGGAGCAGUGUGAGAAUUGCAUGGGAUUUUGUGGAAGUUCUUCAUAAAUGACAAAACACUACACAAAUGAGAGUUUUUAUGGUUACUAAUAAACCAGU